UGUACGCUCCACACGCAGUUACAAGGCUUCCCAAGACUUAGCCUACUUACUUCUCGCUACAAUCCAGUACUCCGAUGAAAAACCUUACAGAACCCAAAGGGUCCAAUUCUCAGAAGUCCUAGGGCUCUGACAUCAAAAGAAAUUACAGUACCUGAGAUUUUGUGGCCAGACUGCAAGUGCUGAAAGAGUUAAUAGCAAAUCGCAACAGGGCUAGUGCUGGAGACACUCAGCUUCCCCUGCACCUCAACAGAGCUUCGCGGAAUAUGAC
This is a long non-coding RNA of Manis pentadactyla (Chinese pangolin), 268 nucleotides long. RefSeq lists it as uncharacterized. The transcript is spliced from 3 exons. Lineage: Eukaryota; Metazoa; Chordata; Mammalia; Pholidota; Manidae. The record is from RefSeq and is a predicted model, not a curated record.